GAUGAACGCUGGCGGCGUGCUUAACACAUGCAAGUCGAACGAAGCAUUUAAGACAGAUUACUUCGGUUUGAAGUCUUUUAUGACUGAGUGGCGGACGGGUGAGUAACGCGUGGGUAACCUGCCUCAUACAGGGGGAUAGCAGCUGGAAACGGCUGGUAAUACCGCAUAAGCGCACAGUACCACAUGGUACAGUGUGAAAAACUCCGGUGGUAUGAGAUGGACCCGCGUCUGAUUAGCUUGUUGGCGGGGUAACGGCCCACCAAGGCGACGAUCAGUAGCCGACCUGAGAGGGUGACCGGCCACAUUGGGACUGAGACACGGCCCAGACUCCUACGGGAGGCAGCAGUGGGGAAUAUUGCACAAUGGAGGAAACUCUGAUGCAGCGACGCCGCGUGAGUGAAGAAGUAGUUCGCUAUGUAAAGCUCUAUCAGCAGGGAAGAUAGUGACGGUACCUGACGAAGAAGCUCCGGCUAAAUACGUG
Molecule: ribosomal RNA, 481 nt
Filed under: uncultured bacterium
Lineage: Bacteria
Description: partial 16S ribosomal RNA
Rfam family: Bacterial small subunit ribosomal RNA
Source: RNAcentral